RNAcentral lists this transfer RNA (85 nucleotides) under Felis catus (domestic cat). It matches the Rfam family "tRNA". Rfam says of the family: Transfer RNA (tRNA) molecules are approximately 80 nucleotides in length. Their secondary structure includes four short double-helical elements and three loops (D, anti-codon, and T loops). Further hydrogen bonds mediate the characteristic L-shaped molecular structure. tRNAs have two regions of fundamental functional importance: the anti-codon, which is responsible for specific mRNA codon recognition, and the 3' end, to which the tRNAs corresponding amino acid is attached (by aminoacyl-tRNA synthetases). tRNAs cope with the degeneracy of the genetic code in two manners: having more than one tRNA (with a specific anti-codon) for a particular amino acid; and 'wobble' base-pairing, i.e. permitting non-standard base-pairing at the 3rd anti-codon position. RNAcentral also lists the same sequence under 1 other name. Lineage: Eukaryota; Metazoa; Chordata; Mammalia; Carnivora; Felidae. The record is from Rfam by way of RNAcentral.
GCCUGGGUGGCUCAGUCGGUUAAGCAUCAGACUUUGGCUCAGGUCAUGAUCUCACGGUUCGUGGGUUCGAGCCCCACGUCGGGCU